Molecule: non-coding RNA, 4411 nt
Organism: Oryza sativa Japonica Group (Japanese rice)
Lineage: Eukaryota; Viridiplantae; Streptophyta; Magnoliopsida; Poales; Poaceae
Source: RefSeq, a predicted model, not a curated record
CAUCGCCGCCGUGGCAAAAAAAGCCCAAGGAAGCAGCGAAAGUAACGUGUGGAAAGGGGAGCGUCUCCGAGAGCGAGAGCGAGAAGAGCGAGGGAGAGAACUGAAGCGGACGGCGAGGUUUUUGCUCCCAAUCCCCUCCUCCCCAAACACCUCGCCGCCGCCGCAUCGGGUCGCCGCCCCUCCAUCCACCCGAGCCCUUUCUCGCCGCCGCGGCGUCGUCGGCCGCGGCCGCGGCUGGGAAGCAUCCGGAUGGCGGGCGGCGGGCGGGGCGCCGGGCUGCCGGCGGCGGGCGAGGCCGCGAAGGCCGGGCGGGUGGGCGUGGGGACGACGAAGAGGGCCAGGGACCCGUCGCCCAACUCCAAGGAUCCCAACGGUUUUGUUGGAGUGAUUGCUGCUGAGAAGAAACCAGCACUGCAGCUUCAUGGCGAUGAAAAAUAUCAGAAGAAAGCUGGGAAUGAUCCUGUACCUCCUACCAUUGAUGAUACAUCCAAAACUGGAGGUCUUCAUUUGCAUGGUGGUCAUGUAUCACAAAGCCCACCUGAUUCUAAUGCUUUGAGUUCGCAACGAUUUGGGAGUUCAUCUCCUGGUGGAGAUAUGAAGAACAAAACCAGAAAGCGUACCUGUACCUUUUAUGCUCAAGGGCGAUGCAAGAAUGGGAAGAGUUGCACUUUUCUUCAUGAAGGGGAGGUAUCUGGUUCUGAUAACCAGGUUUAUGGAAAUCAUGGAGGCACUGGAGAAGGAUCUGAAAUACAACAUCCAUCCAGCUCAAAAGAGCACCAGUUCAAAAAUUCAGCGGGGUCAUCCCAACAUGAGAUAUAUAGGACCCUUGUUCAUGCAUAUGGUGAAGAUAAUAGGGGGUUGACACAUCCCGUUGUUAAACAUAGUUGUCACAUGCUAAAGGCUUCGCAUGGUUUCAAAAUUGGUGGUUCAUUGACUGCAAAUCCUACUAAUGAGGUGGUUCAGCUUCCAGUAGUUCAAGAGAAGAAUCAUGAACCUUAUUUCAUGGGACAUCAAAUUAGUUUGGGCACUAACAACUGUUUGAAUGACAUGGGUGCCUAUUCUAGAUUGCGCCUAGAUGGAGGAAAGCUGCAGUUUGAAGUGGCCAAGGGUGACAGUCCAAGGGAUUCACAUCUAUCAAGAUCUUACCUUGAAAAGAACCCCUUAAAGCCUGAUUAUCGGUAUCAACCGUUUGACUCAACUAUUUCAUUAGAUCCUCACCAAUAUAGCAAGAAGUUGUCAGCUUAUGGUGGAGCAACAGAGAAUCUUCCUCACAAACAUCAGGAAGAAAAAAGUUCAAGCCAUGUCUCAUACAGUUUGAAUAGUUAUACAGGAUUCAGAAAGCAAGGUCAUGACAGCUCUGAUUUUUUCUUGGUUAAUCAGUCUCUCCGAGCAACUUCUCACCAUGGAACCCUGCCUCUUCAUCAAUUAACACCUGAUAAGGAUGCCAGUCACCAUAAAGGUGCUGAUUUUGACAAGGGUGGUACCUCUAGGUCUACAUUACAUGUGAGCAGUUCAUCUCAACCUGUGGUAGCAUCGGCUGGGAAACUUUCCCCAAUCAAGGAUGAGGUUUGGAUAACUUCAGUGCCUUUUGUACCUUCUUUUAAUUUUCCUGAUUUUCCUGGCAGUACAUCACCUUCAAAAAGUCAGUAUGACCCACUUGUCGACAGUAUCGACCCUCCCAAAGUUGAAAGUUUAAAUAAUCUGAAGACCUCAAACAUAUCCUGCAGCAUUUCAAGCCAACAUGUAGAUACGAAUGUUAUAAGAGGGGGAAGUCUUGAAAAACCAUUGACUUUUGCUGACAAGUUGGCAAGGAAUGUAUCUGCUAAAGGAUCAAAUGAUUUUGGUUUGAUUUCAUAUGAUAGGGGACACAGCUCUAGCCUGGAUGGUGAUAAUAGGGUGAAAACCUGUGAAAGGAAAAAUGAUGCAUCACUUAACAAUGAGAAAUCAGACUUUCGUUUUCAUUUGGUGGAGCAUGUAAAGGAGCUGGUGAAACCAAUCUGGAAGGAAGGCAAUUUGAGUAAAGAGGCUCAUAAACUGAUUGUGAAAAAAUCUGUUGAUAAGAUUUUUGCUUCACUUGAGCCAAAUCAGAUGCCAGAGACUGAGAAGGCGAUAACUACUUAUAUAACAGCCUCUGCACCAAAGAUAGAAAAACUUGUGAAGGCAUAUGUUGAUCGUUAUCGCACAUCAUGAGAUCCAGGCUUCUAAUUAUGAGCUACAACAUUGAAGAGAUGGGGUUUGAGCCUGCUGGCCUACCAAUGCGUUUUGUUGCUGUGCUAGAUGUUUUGAGUAAGGAAUUAUGUUUUAACCUUUCUGUGGGGUAGGGCAGCUUAGGCCCUAGGAGAGUGUGGCAUCCCUUGCAACUUUUAUUGUGCAUAGAGGACAUGAAGGCAACAAUUUGGGACUAAAGAGAUAUGGAUGGAACCAAUGGAGCUUAGCAGUACACAACAUAGUCUACAUGGAGCUCAUCGGCACUAACAAGCUGUCAUCAAUGAUAAUAUUGUUUUCUUGAUCUCCCUAAAAGGUCACACGCUUUGGGAGGUAGGACAAAUUUCUUUGCUGCGGCCGAUGAUUACAUGAUGGGGGCUAGUAGUAUGAUGUGGUACUAGGGAAGGCCAGGGCCCUUGGUACGACGGGAGUAAGUUCAAUAUGGCACCAUGGAUUAUAUGUUUGAUCUGGUUAUGCUAUGAGUGGAACAUUUGCCCUAAUGAGCACUGCUGAAUUGCUCGAUAAUUACUAGAGUAAGAUGGCAUCUUGCUGACUGCAUCUGCUUCCAAUAAUUCUUAAUGAAGGCACGAAACAUGGUACUUGUUUGCACCAAGAUGAUUAUCAAGUGUUCAGUAAAUCAGUUCCCUUUGGCUACUAAUUCUGUGCUCUGAGAGAUGUUGCUCUCGAGAUUCCAGUGGAGUUGAUGCUGAUCCCCAGUCUUUAUUUAGUAAAUUGAAGACCGCGAUGGUCCACCUGAAUAUAUUACUUCUCAAAGAUAGCAGUACUGAUACAAAGCCCAAGCACAGGCGUGAAAAAUAAGUGACGAGGAAGGGAAAAGAGUACGAUGAGGUUAUGUUUCAUGAUUUUCAUCUUGUUGAUGACAGGGCAGAAUGGGGGUCAGUUUGUGUAGGUUCUUGGGUAGGUUCUUGGGUGCGCAUUGAAGCCAUAACUUGAUGAUCCGUUGUUUAUUAUUCCUUCAUGAUAUUAGCUUGGUUGGUUAGAGGGGUUGGAGAGAUAUCUUGGAGAUCUUUCAGUUCUUUGGAUCUUACCUUCACUUAGAGGAGAUGUGAUUCGAGUUGUUCAAACAGGGCUGCAUGAUGUGUUUCUAGUUCACGUGUAUAUUCAUGGGCUAGUAAUAUAUCCAGAAACAUGCUGCAAAUAUUGAUGGGCAAGUAACACAUUCAGAAAAAUACUGCAACGAGGGUGUUGGUGAUUCACUAACUUCACUUAAUGAUGGAAGUGACCAGGGUUUUUUCCUCUUGUGAUUCAGAAUAACAUAACUACAGUUCUAGCUUACAAAGUGUUUGACGUGAACCAUAAACAUGGCCGUUUGAGCCAUGCUGAUUAAUCAUAAACCCUCUUUCUGAAGGAUGUAGACCAUGCAGUGUUUGCAGUCUUCUGCUGUUGGGUCGGUGCAUCGCAAAUAGACCUUGGCAGAAUGCAAACCCUACCUGCCCUCUGCAUGCUCACUCAUAUUGGACCAUACAUGAUACAUGUAUGUUGGUUGAGUAAUUUCAAUCCACUGUCACGUGGUGAUUUGGUCCUGGAUCAGUGUGCUUGGAUGACAAAAACUAUAUCCUUGCUUUUAUUGUAUUUGUUGUGCAUCAGAGAAAGGGAAGUGAACAGAAGCACAAACUCUACUAUUGCUUUUAUUGUAUAUCCAUUGAGCAUCAGAGAAGGGGAAGUGAACAAAACCGCAAAUGAAUUGGUUUGUUGGCGAAUGCUACCAGAAGUCGAGCAGAUAGUAUGUUAAAGCGUUCAGGGUGGAGAAUUAGAAAGUUAACGAGAUGGGGACAAGAUGGCAGUUGCCGGGUCAGGGUAUUCUCACAAUAAAUCUUGAUGGCGUGUCUUCCUUUCAGCAUCUUGAGUUUGUUUUAUGAUCCGUGAUCACGUUUGAGUUGUAAUCUGGUUGAUAUCCUGUAUCAAGGGUUCGGAAACAGCGACGAAUCUGGGCGUUAGAAUAUUGUUAGUUGAACCCAAUUCUGUGAUCCUGAAGAAUGCGACUGAAGGGGAUUCUUUUGAUAUCUCAGCUUAACGACGCCCUGUUCGUAUUCAAAAGGUGCUGAAUAUGUUCUUCAGUUUACAGUAGUUCUCGUGUUUUCUAUUGUCGGUGCAAGUGUGUAACUGUAACCAAGUGGUUCAUGCCAUUGCCAUGUCCAUGUUGGGUUCUAACCCUAGCUCAUGAGGAAUCUCCAGGUUGCUUUAA